UACGUAGGGAGCAAGCGUUGUCCGGAAUCAUUGGGCGUAAAGCGCGCGUAGGUGGCCCCAUAAGUCCGCUGUGAAAGUCAAAGGCUCAACCUUUGAAAGCCGGUGGAUACUGUGGGACUAGAGUACGGAAGAGGCGAGUGGAAUUCCUGGUGUAGCGGUGGAAUGCGCAGAUAUCAGGAGGAACACCAACGGCGAAGGCAGCUCGCUAGGACGGUACUGACGCUGAGACGCGAAAGCGUGGGGAGCAAACAGG
RNAcentral lists this ribosomal RNA (253 nucleotides) under uncultured bacterium. Its description in RNAcentral is "partial 16S ribosomal RNA". It matches the Rfam family "Bacterial small subunit ribosomal RNA", at positions 524 to 776 of the family's 1533-position model. The record is from RNAcentral.